AGAGUUUGAUCCUGGCUCAGAUUGAACGCUGGCGGUAGGCUUAACACAUGCAAGUCGAGCGGUAACGGGGAGUAGCUUGCUACUCUGCUGACGAGCGGCGGACGGGUGAGUAACGCGUAGGAAUCUACCUAUUGGUGGGGGAUAGCCCGGGGAAACCCGGAUUAAUACCGCAUAAGCUCUAAGGAGGAAAGCAGGGGAUCUUCGGACCUUGCGCCAAUAGAUGAGCCUGCGUCGGAUUAGCUAGUUGGUGGGGUAAAGGCCUACCAAGGCGACGAUCCGUAGCUGGUCUGAGAGGAUGAUCAGCCACAUCGGGACUGAGACACGGCCCGAACUCCUACGGGAGGCAGCAGUGGGGAAUAUUGGACAAUGGGGGCAACCCUGAUCCAGCCAUACCGCGUGUGUGAAGAAGGCUUUCGGGUUGUAAAGCACUUUCAGACGUGAGGAAAGGGGUACGGUUAAUACCCGUAUCAGUUGACGUUAGCGUCAGAAGAAGCACCGGCUAACUCCGUGCCAGCAGCCGCGGUAAUACGGAGGGUGCAAGCGUUAAUCGGAAUUACUGGGCGUAAAGCGCGCGUAGGUGGCUAAGUCAGUCAGAUGUGAAAGCCCAGGGCUCAACCUUGGAAUUGCACCUGAUACUGCUUGGCUAGAGUAUGGUAGAGGGGUGUGGAAUUUCCUGUGUAGCGGUGAAAUGCGUAGAUAUAGGAAGGAACACCAGUGGCGAAGGCGACACCCUGGACCAAUACUGACACUGAGGUGCGAAAGCGUGGGUAGCAAACAGGAUUAGAUACCCUGGUAGUCCACGCCGUAAACGAUGUCUACUAGCCGUUGGGAGACUUGAUUUCUUAGUGGCGCAGCUAACGCGAUAAGUAGACCGCCUGGGGAGUACGGUCGCAAGAUUAAAACUCAAAUGAAUUGACGGGGGCCCGCACAAGCGGUGGAGCAUGUGGUUUAAUUCGACGCAACGCGAAGAACCUUACCUACUCUUGACAUCCUGCGAACUUGCUAGAGAUAGCUUGGUGCCUUCGGGAACGCAGUGACAGGUGCUGCAUGGCUGUCGUCAGCUCGUGUUGUGAAAUGUUGGGUUAAGUCCCGUAACGAGCGCAACCCUUGUCCUUAUUUGCCAGCACGUAAUGGUGGGAACUUUAAGGAGACUGCCGGUGACAAACCGGAGGAAGGUGGGGACGACGUCAAGUCAUCAUGGCCCUUACGAGUAGGGCUACACACGUGCUACAAUGGACGGUACAGAGGGUUGCGAAGCAGCGAUGUGGAGCCAAUCCCAGAAAACCGUUCGUAGUCCGGAUCGGAGUCUGCAACUCGACUCCGUGAAGUCGGAAUCGCUAGUAAUCGCGAAUCAGAAUGUCGCGGUGAAUACGUUCCCGGGCCUUGUACACACCGCCCGUCACACCAUGGGAGUGGAUUGCACCAGAAGUAGGUAGUCUAACCUUCGGGAGGACGCUUACCACGGUGUGGUUCAUGACUGGGGUGAAGUCGUAACAAGGUAACCGUA
RNAcentral lists this ribosomal RNA (1507 nucleotides) under uncultured bacterium. RNAcentral's name for it is "bacterial SSU rRNA". It matches the Rfam family "Bacterial small subunit ribosomal RNA". The record is from RNAcentral.